ACGGCCGUACCACGCUGAAUAUACCGGUUCUCGUUAGAUCACCGAAGUCAAGCAUCAUUGGGCGCAGUCAGUACUUGGGUGGGUAACCACCUGGGAACACCGUGUGCCGUU
RNAcentral lists this ribosomal RNA (111 nucleotides) under Caerostris darwini. The record is from RNAcentral. Lineage: Eukaryota; Metazoa; Arthropoda; Arachnida; Araneae; Araneidae.